UACGUAGGGGGCAAGCGUUGUCCGGAAUCAUUGGGCGUAAAGAGCGUGUAGGCGGCCCGGUAAGUCCGCUGUGAAAGUCCAGGGCUCAACCCUGGGAUGCCGGUGGAUACUGUCGGGCUCGAGUCCGGAAGAGGAGUGUGGAAUUCCUGGUGUAGCGGUGAAAUGCGCAGAUAUCAGGAGGAACACCAGUGGCGAAGGCGGCUACCUGGCCCACUCUUGACGCUGAGGCGCGAAAGCUAGGGGAGCAAACGGG
Molecule: ribosomal RNA, 253 nt
Filed under: uncultured bacterium
Lineage: Bacteria
Description: partial 16S ribosomal RNA
Rfam family: Bacterial small subunit ribosomal RNA
Source: RNAcentral